AUCAGGAAUUGGUCAGCUUUCUCCCACCUGUGCUGCAGAUGCCACGGAGGUGCAGACAAAAGCUGACUCAGAGCCUCAGCUGGGUGGUUGCCCCCACCCUGGGGAGCCCAAGGGGAGGCACCCCCUGAGAUGUUCCAGGGCCCCAGGGUUCAGGCCCCGUGGCGACUGUGUAACCGUGGCUGUCAACAUUCACCUAAAAUUCUUCAGGGUCCUGGAAA
RNAcentral lists this long non-coding RNA (218 nucleotides) under Callithrix jacchus (white-tufted-ear marmoset). Its description in RNAcentral is "lncRNA (ENSCJAG00000081334.1)". The record is from RNAcentral. Lineage: Eukaryota; Metazoa; Chordata; Mammalia; Primates; Cebidae.